This 506-nucleotide ribosomal RNA is filed under the name uncultured bacterium. Its description in RNAcentral is "partial 16S ribosomal RNA". It matches the Rfam family "Bacterial small subunit ribosomal RNA", at positions 29 to 523 of the family's 1533-position model. The record is from RNAcentral.
AGUGAACGCUGGCGGUAGGCCUAACACAUGCAAGUCGAACGGCAGCACAGGAGAGCUUGCUCUCUGGGUGGCGAGUGGCGGACGGGUGAGGAAUACAUCGGAAUCUACUUUUUCGUGGGGGAUAACGUAGGGAAACUUACGCUAAUACCGCAUACGACCUACGGGUGAAAGCAGGGGAUCUUCGGACCUUGCGCGAUUGAAUGAGCCGAUGUCGGAUCAGCUAGUUGGCGGGGUAAAGGCCCACCAAGGCGACGAUCCGUAGCUGGUCUGAGAGGAUGAUCAUCCACACUGGAACUGAGACUCGGUCCAGACUCCUACGGGAGGCAGCAGUGGGGAAUAUUGGACAAUGGGCGCAAGCCUGAUCCAGCCAUACCGCGUGGGUGAAGAAGGCCUUCGGGUUGUAAAGCCCUUUUGUUGGGAAAGAAAUCCAGCUGGUUAAUACCCGGUUGGGAUGACGGUACCCAAAGAAUAAGCACCGGCUAACUUCGUGCCAGCCGCCGCGGUAA